AGGGGAUGGCCGGUCCAUAAGAGCCCUCUCUGCUGCUCCCCCCUGCUCACACACCUCCCUGCCCCGCUCUGGGGCCUUUCCGUGGGCCAGGGUCUUUCAGGACAAACCAGCUUCUCUGAGAUUUCUGUUCCCUGCUGUAAAUGGCAUCUUCAGCUGAGGUCCUGCCUCUCAUACCUGUGGUGCUCAAAGAACUUGGGAUAUAUGGAUUGUCCUGGGCUGAGCAGCUAAAAUGGCAGUGAAGACAAUAGGCAAACCCCAGAAAAGGUCACCCCUCCAGCCUGGACAGAGUGAAUGCUGUAAGAUGGGCUGAAAUUCCCUUUGAGCUGAUGACCCUUCAUCUGGGAGAAAUCCCAGCUAGUGAUAAAGUGAACGUUAGAAGAUGGGUCUUGAAUACAUAGUCCCAGUUUGUGCAAGGAAAACGAAUACAAUGUCCUCGUGUAGGAAUUUUCAAGCUAAUUACAUUGCCUUGAGCCUUGCAAUGCAAAGUUGCAGCUGCACAAUGGAGCCACUUUCGGUUAAGAAACUGCAUAAAAAAGGAUCAGGUCCUACCAAAGGCUGGCAGGCUGACACUUGGGCUGCAAAGAAAAGGGAUUUUUAGAGACUCUGUCCUAUAUAGCUACACGGUGGGGGAGCUAUUUCAGCAGGUAAAAGUUACCUGUAAACAAAGUUCAAAAUUGUAUGUGUUUAACACUGCAAAAUAUUUUAAAGAAAACUGUACUGUGUCUGUCAAUGCCAGUAUAGAAUAUGGGACAGGUCCCAAGGGAAGCUCAGUCCACCCGAGGGCUUACAAACCUUGACUCUGUCCCUUUAAAUGUAAUUGUUAGUAAACACUUUCAUGAAAGAAGCUUUCAUCAGAGAAAAAAAAGUGGCAAACUACAGUGGUAAAUAAUUUGCCUUGGCAAAUAACAUUUAAGUCACUGAUUUGAACCGUAAUUCUGUUCAGCAUUAUCAUUUGCUUUGUAAAUAAAAGUGCUUAUCCAAACAGCCAA
This is a long non-coding RNA of Passer domesticus (house sparrow), 989 nucleotides long. RefSeq lists it as uncharacterized. The transcript has 4 exons. The record is from RefSeq and is a predicted model, not a curated record. NCBI's taxonomy places the organism in Eukaryota, Metazoa, Chordata, Aves, Passeriformes, Passeridae.